RNAcentral lists this small nuclear RNA (335 nucleotides) under Sorex araneus (European shrew). RNAcentral's name for it is "7SK RNA (ENSSARG00000019667.1)". It matches the Rfam family "7SK RNA". From Rfam's summary of the family: 7SK was discovered as an abundant small nuclear RNA in the mid-70s but a possible function has only recently been suggested. Lineage: Eukaryota; Metazoa; Chordata; Mammalia; Eulipotyphla; Soricidae. The record is from RNAcentral.
GGAUGUGAGGGUGAUCUAACAAUAUCUGUUACCCACGGAUCACCAUGGUUGUUUCAGCUGAUCUGACUGGUGAGAUGAGUGUCCUACUCCUCCCUCACCACUCAUGUGCCCUCCUGAAGCUGUGGGUGUGAUGGAGGGGGAUGGCCUUUUCUUAUUAGAGGCUGCUGUUCUAUCGCGGGCAUGUGAGUAGCUUUGCUCCCCUGUUCGAACUGCCAAAUUAACUCCCAAAGAUCAUCUAGUGAGUUUUUCUAUUAUGAGGAACAGAAAAUGGGAGCAAAACCAGAAGAGACAGGUGGGUCUGUAGAGAAUUUGAAAGUAGCAGGAUUUUUUCAAUA